GGCUUCAUAGCUCAGUUGGUUAGAGCGUCGCACCGGUAUCGUGAGGGCAGGGGUUCAAACCCACUUGAAGUCC
RNAcentral lists this transfer RNA (73 nucleotides) under Acropora cervicornis. RNAcentral's name for it is "tRNA-Thr". It matches the Rfam family "tRNA". From Rfam's summary of the family: Transfer RNA (tRNA) molecules are approximately 80 nucleotides in length. Lineage: Eukaryota; Metazoa; Cnidaria; Anthozoa; Scleractinia; Acroporidae. The record is from RNAcentral.